AAGUCUCUUAACAUGAUGAUAGUAUACCGGUUAAUGCAUAGUUCAACUGACAUUUUGAUUGAAGAUAAAAAUUACCAUUGAUUUUAGUCUUUCGCUCCUAUCUGACUAGAGACGU
The sequence is a small nucleolar RNA, 115 nucleotides long. It matches the Rfam family "Small nucleolar RNA snR60/Z15/Z230/Z193/J17". Rfam says of the family: The members of this family belong to the C/D class of snoRNAs which contain the C (UGAUGA) and D (CUGA) box motifs. Most of the members of the box C/D family function in directing site-specific 2'-O-methylation of substrate RNAs. The family includes the yeast snoRNA snR60 (also known as Z15) and the corresponding human guide snoRNA U80 (SNORD80).